GACGUAGGAGGCGAGCGUUGUCCGGAUUCAUUGGGCGUAAAGAGCGCGCAGGCGGCUUGGUAAGUCGGAUGUGAAAUCCCGAGGCUCAACCUCGGGUCUGCAUCCGAUACUGCCCGGCUAGAGGUAGGUAGGGGAGAUCGGAAUUCCUGGUGUAGCGGUGAAAUGCGCAGAUAUCAGGAGGAACACCGGUGGCGAAGGCGGGUCUCUGGGCAGUAACUGACGCUGAGGAGCGAAAGCGUGGGGAGCGAACAGG
This 253-nucleotide ribosomal RNA is filed under the name uncultured bacterium. RNAcentral describes it as "partial 16S ribosomal RNA". It matches the Rfam family "Bacterial small subunit ribosomal RNA", at positions 524 to 776 of the family's 1533-position model. The record is from RNAcentral.